Molecule: long non-coding RNA, 1851 nt
Organism: Oreochromis niloticus (Nile tilapia)
Lineage: Eukaryota; Metazoa; Chordata; Actinopteri; Cichliformes; Cichlidae
Exons: 6
Source: RefSeq, a predicted model, not a curated record
AGUUAACAUAUGUUUUUCUAAUGAAGUCUACGUAAUUGUGUCUAUUAUUCACUGUACAUAAUACUAAUGUGUUACUUGAUGGCAUAACAUUUAAGUCAAUUAGGAUCGAUAUACUUUGUAUAUCCACAAGGUGGCAGUAAUGCAAAAACAGUUGUAAUGAAACCGCGAAGAACAACAAGGUUUCACGGCUUGGGCCUGCUCAUGCGCAAGACUUCAAAUUUAACUUAAAAACGUUGUUUUGGCGCCAAGCUGCUGUUUCUUUGAGAGAUCCUGCCUUUACCUGCUCCCUCCUAUACUGAUGUGGUGUAUGUGGUACUGCUGAGCUUGUAUGUGAUCUGAACCAGUGUAAAGGUUGCAGUUCAAGGGCCUGAGGUGGAAGCAGAAUUUGUGAGGAUUACUACUGCUGCACUUGUUCCAAGGCUUUUUGCACAACUUGACCAAUACACCAAUGACCAGCUCAUAAAAGUCUUCAAGAAAAAAGGAGGCACUGCAGUGAAGAAAAUUAGACAAAUUUUGGCCCCAGCCACACAGAAGGAAACUAUUGAAAAGGGGAGGGAGUGUGUCCUCAGGGCACUACCUUUUUACCUGAAUGAAGACCCAAGCAUCCUCUUCAAAGAAUAAUUGCUACAGCUACAGCUGUUCAGAGGGAGCUGGAACAAAUUACCCUUGCUAUCUUUACCAUCGAAAGAGCUGAUGCCAGCACUCCUCCAGCCGAUGUGGGUAUAACCAUCUAGGGUGUUCUGCAUGACCUGGAAGACAUGGCCUCUGCAUGUGCACUCUUAAUGGGUGGGAUAUAUGCACUUUUUCGUGGGCUGAAUGGGAAUAAAACGGUAAUUUGACAGAUAAAGGGAAAAUUACAUUUAAGAGAAAUUUAGAAAAUUUUGAAAAGUUUGUAAACUAGUACAAUUUGAGAGAUUUUACUCUUGUGGUGGCGGGGUUAGUAAGAGACAAUCAAAAGUAUUGACAUUUAAAGGAUUUAAUUGAGAGAUGAUACUGCACCAGAAAUGUUGAAGGGUGGUGUGUAUAUUAGCGUUCAAGGCAUAUUGUUAUGAGGUGGAAAUAUGUUCAUAUUCUGUUUGUGUUACAUUGUGUGCAUUGUAAAGGUAAUUGCAAUACAUACUAAGAAUAAGGGUAAGUUAGGAAUGCAGGAUGAAUGUAUAUUUUGCGGACUUUUAAAGACGAACAAUUGUUUCCAUGUUAAAAUGUUUACAACCCAAGUUUUUUGCCCAAACACUGGCAAAAUAAACGUUGACAGUGGCAAGUGUUAAAUGGUUACUGCUGUGCUGUUGCAAAAAAAACUGAACGCUGACAAGCUGUUUUAUUGUUAGACAAUAAUGCUGGCAUGUUUUAUUAAAGUUUUGGGAUGGUGAUAUAAUUUUCUGUGAUUGCUAAUAUCAGUGGACUAUUUAUUAUUAUUAUUAUUAUUAUGAUUAUUAUUAUUAUUGUUACAACAUUAAUUUUUUUAAUUGUGGCUGUUGAGGUGGACACUUCACUUUGCAUUGUUAAAGGAAAGCACUUCAUUGGCGUUGUGUUACUGGACUGACCCUAAGCAAUCAUUGCAAAUAGCAACUUUGCUAUCCAUUAUAGACACUAAAAGAAAAAAACACUCCACAGACCUUACUAGCAUCACAUGUGCAUAACUCAAGUGUCAUCUUAUCAACAUGUUAUGUGGUCUUCAAUGUUUUUUUUCUUCUAUUUCUGGCAGAUACAGACAUUUAAUUUGAAGUCUUGAUGUUGCAUCUGUAUACAUACUGUUAGUUACUAACCCUAAUGACCUGUUGUGUUUUAUUUUGGACUGGGUUUACACAAAUGCUCACUGAAUGUGUUGGCAAUAAAAGAAAUUUAAAAAAA